RNAcentral lists this small RNA (78 nucleotides) under Rhodnius prolixus. Its description in RNAcentral is "isrK Hfq binding RNA". It matches the Rfam family "isrK Hfq binding RNA". The record is from Rfam by way of RNAcentral. Lineage: Eukaryota; Metazoa; Arthropoda; Insecta; Hemiptera; Reduviidae.
GUAUCUGCAAAUUCAGGUGCCGGGCUUUGCACCCCGAUUAUGAAACCGCGACAACAACACGCCGCGAGCGUGUUUUUU